UGGAAGUUCACCUCUCUCAUACAGAAUGCUACAAGGAACAUUUUACAUAAAAUAUAACAUAGAAAAAGAUAAACAUUAAUUUGAACAUAUAAGAAUGUUGAAAAACAUUGAAUCGUCUUAGAAUGUCAAGGCACAAUGUAUCCAAGGACAUGCAUAUGGCAUCAAAGUCGCUUUGGCUGAAGAGAAAAGUCAAAGUGAAGAGUGAAUGGUAAAAAGUCAAGUAAAAAGAAGCCGCUCAACAAGUUGUCUGAUCUUAAAUACUGGCAGAGGUUGAGAUUAAACUUUCCUUGUGUUCAUCGAUGUUGUCACAAAGACGGUAACCUCAAAUUAAAUGAAUUUGUAGAUUAGGUUAGUAUGAAUAAAGUUGCUGAAUCAUACAGGAAAUAUUUUGGCAGUAGUCACAUUUAGAGCACUGCAGGCUUGUCAAAACCCAUCUUAAGUCAAGUAGAAGGAUGGGUUUCAACAGGAGAGAUCUGACCUCAUGAAUUUAUAGGCUUUACAGAUAAGUUUACAAUGAACAAUAUAGAAAUACCCUUUUGUGAUAUAAUUCAAUUAUUAUAUCCUUUGGAAGUCAUUGAUUUUUUCCAAUUCAAUUUUAACAUUGAUGUAGCACGAAUAUUAUGUCAGAAUAGCAUCAUCACAUUACAAUAUCAUGUAGAUUGUGAAACAUUCAUUGCACAUCAUGACAUCAUAUAUGAUGAUAUCAUGACGUGCAUAUAUAUUUGUGUUACCAUCCAUUGUUACAUUAUGCAAUUAUGAUGUAAUCUGGAAUUCAAACUAAACUCUGAAGCAAUUAAAUGAAGAUAUUUUCACUGCCAUCCCAAAAUGUCCUAUCUUUGGGACAAUCCGAACUGAUGGUAGUCUGAAUAAUAUAACUCAUAGGGUUGUUAUGCAAAAUUUGGCCCCAAGAGAUCAAAUAUUAUGGGAGUCUAUGAGGAAUAUACAAGAAGAUACCAGUAG
RNAcentral lists this long non-coding RNA (960 nucleotides) under Androctonus crassicauda. Lineage: Eukaryota; Metazoa; Arthropoda; Arachnida; Scorpiones; Buthidae. The record is from RNAcentral.